UCAUAUGCUUGUCUUAAAGAUUAAGCCAUGCAUGUCUAAGUGCAAGCUCCGGCAAAGUGAAACCGCGAAUGGCUCAUUAAAUCAGUUAUGGUUCAUUCGAUAGAUGCCAUUUACAUGGAUAACCCUGGGAAAUCUAGAGCUAAUACAUGUCACCCGCUCCGACCUCACGGGACGAGCGCAUUUGUCAGACUAAAAACCAAUCGGGCUUCGGUCCGUUCAGUGGUGAACCAUGGCAAACCGUCACGCUGACCGCACGGUCUAGAACCGGCGGUGCGUCGUUCGAAUGUCUGCCUUAUCAACUGUCGAUGGUAGGUUAAGUGCCUACCAUGGUUAUAACGGGUAACGGGGAAUCAGGGUUCGAUUCCGGAGAGGGCGCCUGAGAAACGGCGACCACUUCUACGGAAGGCAGCAGGCACGCAAAUUACCCACUCCCGGCACGGGGAGGUAGUGACAAGAAAUAACAAUACGGGACUCUAAACGAGGCCCCGUAAUUGGAAUGAGUACACUUUAAAUCCUUUAACGAGGAUCUAUUGGAGGGCAAGUCUGGUGCCAGCAGCCGCGGUAAUUCCAGCUCCAAUAGCGUAUAUUAAAGUUGCUGCAGUUAAAAAGCUCGUAGUUGGAUCUGGCGUACNGGCUCGAGGUCCGCCGUUCGGCGGUUACUUCCCGUCCCGACGUACCUCUCGGAUUUCCCUCGGUGCUCUUAACUGA
This 708-nucleotide ribosomal RNA is filed under the name Echinoderes aquilonius. Its description in RNAcentral is "SSU rRNA". It matches the Rfam family "Eukaryotic small subunit ribosomal RNA", at positions 24 to 726 of the family's 1831-position model. Lineage: Eukaryota; Metazoa; Kinorhyncha; Cyclorhagida; Echinoderidae. The record is from RNAcentral.